GUGCUUAACACAUGCAAGUCGAAGCGAAAGGUCUCUUCGGAGACACUCGAGUGGCGAACGGGUGAGUAACACGUGGGCGAUCUGCCCUGCACUUCGGGAUAAGCCUGGGAAACUGGGUCUAAUACCGGAUAGGACCACGGGAUUCAUGUCCUGUGGUGGAAAGCUUUUGCGGUGUGGGAUGGGCCCGCGGCCUAUCAGCUUGUUGGUGGGGUAACGGCCUACCAAGGCGACGACGGGUAGCCGGCCUGAGAGGGUGUCCGGCCACACUGGGACUGAGAUACGGCCCAGACUCCUACGGGAGGCAGCAGUGGGGAAUAUUGCACAAUGGGCGCAAGCCUGAUGCAGCGACGCCGCGUGGGGGAUGACGGCCUUCGGGUUGUAAACCUCUUUCACCAUCGACGAAGGUUCGGGUUUUCUCGGAUUGACGGUAGAUGGAGAAGAAGCACCGGCCAACUACGUGCCAGCAGCCGCGGUAAUACGUAGGGUGCGAGCGUUGUCCGGAAUUACUGGGCGUAAAGAGCUCGUAGGUGGUUUGUCGCGUUG
RNAcentral lists this ribosomal RNA (543 nucleotides) under Mycobacterium pseudoshottsii. RNAcentral describes it as "bacterial SSU rRNA". It matches the Rfam family "Bacterial small subunit ribosomal RNA", at positions 44 to 590 of the family's 1533-position model. Lineage: Bacteria; Bacillati; Actinomycetota; Actinomycetes; Mycobacteriales; Mycobacteriaceae. The record is from RNAcentral.